AGUGAACGCUGGCGGUAGGCCUAACACAUGCAAGUCGAACGGCAGCACAGUAAGAGCUUGCUCUUACGGGUGGCGAGUGGCGGACGGGUGAGGAAUACAUCGGAAUCUACUUUUUCGUGGGGGAUAACGUAGGGAAACUUACGCUAAUACCGCAUACGACCUACGGGUGAAAGCAGGGGAUCUUCGGACCUUGCGCGAUUGAAUGAGCCGAUGGCGGAUUAGCUAGUUGGCGGGGUAAAGGCCCACCAAGGCGACGAUCCGUAGCUGGUCUGAGAGGAUGAUCAGCCACACUGGAACUGAGACACGGUCCAGACUCCUACGGGAGGCAGCAGUGGGGAAUAUUGGACAAUGGGCACAAGCCUGAUCCAGCCAUACCGCGUGGGUGAAGAAGGCCUUCGGGUUGUAAAGCCCUUUUGUUGGGAAAGAAAAGCAGCAGGUUAAUACCCCGCUGUUCUGACGGUACCCAAAGAAUAAGCACCGGCUAACUUCGUG
This 492-nucleotide ribosomal RNA is filed under the name uncultured bacterium. RNAcentral describes it as "partial 16S ribosomal RNA". It matches the Rfam family "Bacterial small subunit ribosomal RNA", at positions 29 to 507 of the family's 1533-position model. The record is from RNAcentral.